GGCGACAUAGCCAAGUGGUAAGGCAGAAGUCUGCAAAACUUUUAUUCCCCAGUUCAAAUCUGGGUGUCGCCUCCA
Molecule: transfer RNA, 75 nt
Filed under: Acinetobacter baumannii
Lineage: Bacteria; Pseudomonadati; Pseudomonadota; Gammaproteobacteria; Moraxellales; Moraxellaceae
Description: tRNA-Cys
Rfam family: tRNA
About the family: Transfer RNA (tRNA) molecules are approximately 80 nucleotides in length. Their secondary structure includes four short double-helical elements and three loops (D, anti-codon, and T loops).
Source: RNAcentral